ACUUCGGGUGUUUCUAAUUUGGGUUGAUUAUUGAUAUCGUUAUGAUAUUUACGCCCUGCGUUUCCACUCUUUUACUUGCCACAACGUUGCACCUGCACUCGGUUUGUGUGGCCGGAAGAUUGAAGACGUACCUCCAAUGACAGCAGAGUUUCGAUCGACGGCAUUGCCGCCGGACGAUUCCUCGCUGAAAGGAGAAGCGGCUCCGACUGCGGGCAAAGCGAACACGGAAAAGUCGGAAGUCGAUCGUGUACCUCGUGAGUGGUUCGUGUACGGGCCUGCGUCCCUACCGGUUUCUACGUGCCAGGGGUCAUUCGCUGCCAGGGAAGAGAGAGUCAAAGGAGAGGCUCCGCAAUUGGACGGGACCAGAAUCCCGUGGGUGCCGACGGGCGCCGCCUGGCCAGAGCGCAGGGCGGCUUUGAGUGGUGCCACACUGUUCAGCUGAACUCUUGAGAGGCAGCCCACGAAGCCCGGUGUGUUGUAGCGCUCGAUCAAGAUCGGGUCAAUCUGUCCCGUUUC
Long non-coding RNA from Phycodurus eques (leafy seadragon), 516 nucleotides. RefSeq lists it as uncharacterized. The transcript is spliced from 2 exons. Lineage: Eukaryota; Metazoa; Chordata; Actinopteri; Syngnathiformes; Syngnathidae. The record is from RefSeq and is a predicted model, not a curated record.